This 273-nucleotide long non-coding RNA is filed under the name Drosophila guanche. Lineage: Eukaryota; Metazoa; Arthropoda; Insecta; Diptera; Drosophilidae. The record is from RNAcentral.
GUCAAUUUUGGUUGCUUUCACUUUGCAUUGAAGGCUUAAGCAACUCCCCUCGAGUUGCAUGUUUUGUCUUGUAUUUCAGCUGUCAUUCAGCCUGGUUAAGUUCAGUUCAUUUGCUCCGACAUUGCACUGAUUGCACUCUGAUUUCACCCUACGACACGGACAGCUCCUCUGUGGCCCAAACUCACUGCUGAUGGAUUUGCUAAGUUCAAUUUUGUUGACUAGUGUUUCUGAUUUUCUUUUCCGCUGUUCCGCUGUUCCUCUUUUUGUUUUUUU